RNAcentral lists this ribosomal RNA (433 nucleotides) under uncultured bacterium. Its description in RNAcentral is "partial 16S ribosomal RNA". It matches the Rfam family "Bacterial small subunit ribosomal RNA", at positions 29 to 507 of the family's 1533-position model. The record is from RNAcentral.
AACGAACGCUGGCGGCAUGCCUAACACAUGCAGGUCGAACGAGACCUUCGGGUCUAGUGGCGCACGGGUGCGUAACGCGUGGGAACCUGCCCUUAGGUUCGGAAUAACUCCCCGAAAGGGGUGCUAAUACCGGAUAAUGUCUUCGGACCAAAGAUUUAUCGCCUUUGGAUGGGCCCGCGUUGGAUUAGCUGGUUGGUAGGGUAAAAGCCUACCAAGGCGACGAUCCAUAGCUGGUCUGAGAGGAUGAUCAGCCACACUGGGACUGAGACACGGCCCAGACUCCUACGGGAGGCAGCAGUGGGGAAUAUUGGACAGUGGGCGAAAGCCUGAUCCAGCAAUGCCGCGUGAGUGAUGAAGGCCUUAGGGUUGUAAAGCUCUUUUACCCGGGAUGAUAAUGACAGUACCGGGAGAAUAAGCUCCGGCUAACUCCGUG